Molecule: ribosomal RNA, 301 nt
Filed under: uncultured bacterium
Lineage: Bacteria
Description: partial 16S ribosomal RNA
Rfam family: Bacterial small subunit ribosomal RNA
Source: RNAcentral
CAGUCGCCACGGUAAUGCGUAGGUGGCAAGCGUUGUCCGGAAUUAUUGGGCGUAAAGGGCUCGCAGGCGGUUUUUAAGUCUGAUGUGAAAGCCCACGGCUCAACCGUGGAGGGUCAUUGGAAACUGGAAAACUUGAGUGCAGAAGAGGAAAGUGGAAUUCCAUGUGUAGCGGUGAAAUGCGCAGAGAUAUGGAGGAACACCAGUGGCGAAGGCGACUUUCUGGUCUGUAACUGACGCUGAUGUGCGAAAGCGUGGGGAUCAAACAGGAUUAGAUACCCCAGUAGUCCCUGUCUCUUAUACA